UCGGAAUUACUGGGCGUAAAGCGCACGCAGGCGGUCUAUUAAGUCAGUGGUGAAAGCCCGGGGCUCAACUCCGGAACUGCCAUUGAUACUGAUAGACUUGAGUUUGGGAGAGGUAGGCGGAAUACAGCAUGUAGCGGUGAAAUGCAUAGAUAUUACAUAGAAUACCAAUUGCGAAGGCAGAUUACUAAUAAUCAACUGACACUGAUGGACGAAAGCGUGGGUAGCGAACAGGAUUAGAUACCCUGGUAGUCCACGCCGUAAACGAUGGUUACUAGCUGUUUGGACCUUGUGUCUGAGUGGCUAAGCGAAAGUGAUAAGUAACCCACCUGGGGAGUACGUUCGCAAGAAUGAAACUCAAAGGAAUUGACGGGGGCCCGCACAAGCGGUGGAGCAUGUGGUUUAAUUCGAUGAUACGCGAGGAACCUUACCAGGGCUUAAAUGUAAGUUGCAUUAGUUAGAGAUAGCUAUUUCUUCGGACCACUUACAAGGUGCUGCAUGGUU
This 501-nucleotide ribosomal RNA is filed under the name uncultured Flavobacteriaceae bacterium. RNAcentral's name for it is "bacterial SSU rRNA". It matches the Rfam family "Bacterial small subunit ribosomal RNA", at positions 545 to 1050 of the family's 1533-position model. Lineage: Bacteria; Pseudomonadati; Bacteroidota; Flavobacteriia; Flavobacteriales; Flavobacteriaceae. The record is from RNAcentral.